Molecule: non-coding RNA, 5530 nt
Organism: Aegilops tauschii subsp. strangulata
Lineage: Eukaryota; Viridiplantae; Streptophyta; Magnoliopsida; Poales; Poaceae
Source: RefSeq, a predicted model, not a curated record
CCCUCGUCCACCAAACAACACACACAAAAUUUACUAGCAAGGGAGCCAUGGAUCUGGCAACAGGCGCCAUGGGCACCCUGCUCCCCAAGCUGCUGGAGCUCCUCAGCGAGGAGUACAAGCUGCAGAAAGGCGUCAGGGAAGGAGUCAAGUCUCUCGAGAAAGAGAUGAGGAGCAUGUACGCUGCCCUCCGCAAAGUGGCGGAGGUGCCACGGGAGCAGCUUGACGAGCAGGUCAAGCUCUGGGCAGGGGAGGUGAGGGAGCUGUCCUUCGACAUGGAGGACGUCGUUGACAAGUUCCUGGUGCAUGUGGACGAGGGUUCUGAGCCUGCAGCAAACUCUAAUAAGCUCAAGCGGCUCACGAAGAAGAUGGCCAGCUUGUUCACCAAGGGGAAGGCUCGCCAUGAGAUCGCUGAUGCGAUCAAGGACAUCAAUAAGCAAGUCCAAGCGGUUGCUGAAAGGCGUGCAAGGUACAAUGUCGAUAUUACCGUCGCUAACCUCCCUACUGUGACUUCCAUCGAUCCUCGCCUUGGGGCUAUGUACACGGAAGCAACAGGGCUUGUUGGAAUUGCCGGAACAAGGGACCAAGAGGUAAUGAAGUUGCUCUCGGAGGGGGAUGACAUGUCCAAGAAGAAUUUGAAGAUUGUCUCUGUUGUCGGAUUCGGAGGAUUGGGCAAGACCACUCUUGUCAAAAUGGUCUAUGAGAAGAUCGGAGGUGAUUACGACUGCAAGGCUUUUGUUCCAGUCGGUCGAAAGGCUGAGGCAAAGACGGUUUUCACAAAUAUCCUUCUUAAUCUUGGCAUAAAUGGAAGUGAGCUCAUCAUGUUGAAUGAGCAACUGCUCAUCGACAAACUCCGGGAAUUUCUCAAGAACAAGAGGUACCUCAUUGUAAUUGAUGAUAUAUGGGAUGAAAAACUGUGGACAAUUAUCAAGUGUGCAUUCUCUAGUAGUAACAAAUUUGGCAGUCGGUUAAUCACGACAACUCGUAUAGUCAGUGUAUCUGAAUCAUGCAGCUCGUCUACUAAUGAUUCAAUUUACACAAUGGAACCUCUUAGUGAUGAUGAUUCGAAAAGGCUGUUUUAUAAACGGAUAUUUUCUCUAGAGAGUGGAUGUCCUCCUGACUUUGAAGAAGUAUCUAGAGAUAUAUUGAAGAAAUGUGGUGGUGUUCCAUUAGCCAUCAUUACCAUAGCUAGUCUUUUGGCUAGUGGUCAGCGGGUAAAACCAAAGAAAGAGUGGCAUGUUUUGCUAGACUCUAUUGGUCGUGGACUUACUGAAAACCAUACUGCCAAGGAGAUGAUAAGGAUACUAUCAUUUAGCUAUUAUGACCUGCCUUCCCCUAUGAAGACAUGCUUAUUAUAUCUAAGCAUGUUUCCGGAAGAUAGCGAGAUCAUGAAAGAUCGGUUGAUAUGGAUGUGGAUUGCUGAAAGCUUUGUCCCAAGUGGAAAAGCAAAUACUAGUCUCUUUGAGGUUGGAGAAACUUACUUCCAUGAGCUUGUGAACAGAAGCUUGAUACAGCCGGUAUAUGGUUAUUAUGGCUUUGUAUAUGCUUGUCGUGUACACGAUAGUAUACUUGAUCUAAUUUGCUCCUUGUCAAGUGAAGAGAACUUUGUUACUAUAGUGAAUGGUACUAGCGAUAACAUGUCUUCUCAGGGCAAUGUGCGCAGGUUAUCCCUCCAAAAUGGUAUAAAAGAAGAAGAUCGAACCAGGCCUCACAUAUCUGAGAGUAUAAGACAAGUGAGGUCUGUUGUUACAUUUGAACCUGCUAUUGAUCUAAUGCCACCAUUCUCGAGCUUUGUUGUUUUGCGUGUAUUAGAUUUGGAGUUGUAUGCAUAUAGGGGUACUAAGGAGGACCAUCUCAACCUUCAAGAGUUGGGGAGUUUGCUUCACUUGAGGUACCUACGUCUAUCUGGAAGAAGAAUUGGUGAGUUGCCGAAAGAGAUUGGAAAGUUGCAGUUUUUGCAGGUGUUGGAUUUGCCUGGAGGUACAAGACUGCCGGCGACUGUGAUUAAGCUCACAAGAUUGAUGUGCCUACUGAUUAAUGGUGGGAGGUUCCCACCUCCAGAUGGUGUUGGAAACCUGAGAUUAGUGGAAGUAUUGAGUAAGAUCAAAGUUGGCUCUGUAAGCAUUGCAAAAGAGUUGGGCAACAUGGACAGACUGAGCGAGCUUAAUAUUCAGUUUGAGAGCUCGGAUCCUGUGAAAGCUUUUGUGGAGUCACUAGGGAAAAUGCGAAAGAUCCAGCAUGUUGUAAUCAGUUCCAAGUGUGAGCUUGAAGUUUCAAUGGAUCACUCGGGGGAACGUUGGGAGUCCCCUGCAAGUCUCCGGGAGUUUAUCAUGCACAAAGGCGUCAGAUUAUCUACUCUGCCGUCAUGGAAUCCCUAUCAUUUGUCACAGCUCUUCAGGUUAGAAAUAUAUGUUGGGGAAAUGCGUCAGGAGGAUCUGGGAUUCCUUGGAAGGUUACCGGCUCUUCGGAUUCUCGAGUUAAAGAGCGACAACCAGAGGUCGCUACUCGUCGGCGCCGAGGGAUUCCGUUGUUUAGAAACAGUCACCUUCCAUUCCAAAUCACCGAGCAAAAUAUUGUUCAAGCCAGGAGCUUUUCCCAAGGCCGAACGAGUUCUUCUCUUUAUCGGUUUGCGGGCAGCAAAAGAGGAAGCAGGUGGCAACGGUGGCGAUUGGUUUGACCUGGGCAUGGAGAACCUGCCGUCCCUUCAGGAUGUCAGUGUCAUCUUCUUCCGUUCGGGAGUGACGGUCGGGGAGGCCAAGCAAGCGGAGGAUGCGCUGGAGAACGCCCUCGACGACCAUCCUAAGCGUCCCAACAUUCGCAUCCACUGCCUCGAGGUCUACGCAGCAGCAGACUUAGAGAGUGAUGGCGGGGAGUCAGAGUCUGACGACGGCUGGGACGGCGAGGAGUGAGUGUCAGACUGAAGAACCAGCCUGCAGGCUCUGUCAUUGUUUACUGGCGACUUGCGGCGCGUCUGGAAUAUGGCCGAUGGCAACAUGGAUCGACGACACUCGCUAUUCCUUGAGCUUCUUUCUUGGCUUAGAGGGACAAAAGAAAAGAAAAAGACAAAAAAAAGGAAAAUUACAAAAAAAAAUCACGCACUAUUUGUCUUACACCAAAAAAAGGCAGUGGGAGGGGUGCGGGGAGUGUAUGAAAAUCCAAAAAAAAACAAUUUAUAGCUCUACGUGUGCUUUUUUCUCUCGCUUAAGAGGGGCUUGCUUUUUCCAGAACUUAUGCGUCUAUCUAUUUUAUUUUUCUCAAUUAUUAUUGAUUGUUUUUUAAAUAUCUUUUAAACCAAAAUGUAUUUUUUGCUUUGUAACGCCUGGUGUCAUAUUGCUUCAAGCAAAGAAAAUCCAAAAAAAACAGGUUUGAGCUUUUAUGCAAUUUGUAGUUUUAUUUUUGUUUGGGUUUUUGCCUGUGGGUGGAUUUUUAGGGGUGUGGGAGGUGGGGGAACUCCGCCUAUGAUGUUGAUGCUAAGCUUAUGCUUAAUAAAAUUACUCAUAGCCGGUCCCAAGCCCGGAUAAAGGAGGAGGGUCCAACCGUAUAAACUUUAUGUUUACAAAAAAAUCAUGACUCUUUAAUAAUGUCCUUUUUUUCUUAUCAUAUUGCUCAUUUCUGUUUUGAUGGGGUUGUCAUUACAUUGACACACAUCUCCAUCAUAAUGUUUCAAGGCACCAAAUUUGUUCGGUUUUACAUUGCUAGUCCGUCAUUUGUAUAGUUUUGCAGGACUAGGAAUAUAUUUUUUUCUUGAAGCAUUUUAUAACUUCACUGUAGAAGAUAAACAAUCAAAGUUUGAAAAAUCUUAUACUAGAGAGAAAUUGCUGAGGAAGAGUAGAGCAGAGCAGUGGAGACGGUUGCAAACUUGCAAGCCGUCUUUGGCCGCAUUGCCUGCCACACCAAGAGAAAAGAUAACAACACCUCGAUGGCGUCUGCCAUGACUGGCGCCUAUGUCCGCACGGCUGAGCUCCGCAUGCUCGAGGCCACCAUCUCCGGUGUCCGAGGCAACGGAUACAUGUUAGGAUUCCACGAGGUCGGCGGCGGCGAGGGAAGAGACCAGGCCAGGCUCUACCCGGGCGAGCCGGCGAGGGCGAUGAAGUACCACUGCAACUUCGACCCUUCGCAUGGCGCCUGCCUCCGGCGACCUACCGGACAGCUGCCUGCGAUGGGCUGUUUGUAUACGUUGGACAAGUUAGGAAUUUUCGGAACACUUUGUUCGAGCAGCCCUCGGAAGCUCUUGGGCUCAGAUCAAGAUACUUGAAAUAUAGAGUGCAACCAAGAACAGAACAGACUGCCAUUACUGCCAUCCCUGCCCCAGCCUGAAUGUCUCCAUUGGGACAAGCCAGCAUACUUCUUCAAGAUGAAACCAGAGGCCUCCGAAUCCUCCAUGAGGACUGAUGGGUAGACGUCACGCCAUUCAUCGUGAACAUCAGUGAUCCCUUAUAGCUGGGCUCUUUAAAAAAGAAAAUUCAUCUGAUUUCCAGUGAUGGGUUGAAGAGCGUGAAGCAUAGGGUGGUGGCGAAGAACUGUGCGCCGAGGGUCUCAAUCACAUGCUUCUUUCACACACAUUUCCACCCGGCCUUGAUCUGGUUGUAUGGUCUGAUCAAGGACUUGUUGUCUGAUGGAAACCCUUCAUUGUAACUGGUUUCCGGUUGUGAAUUGUGAAGUAGAGUUUGUGUACUGGUAGCAUAUUAUAGACUAUACCAGUCUAGCUGGAUCAUGUAUAGUCGAGCAGUUUGAAAUGCUAAGAAAAGUGACAGUAAAAUGGCAGUACAAGUACCAGAAUAUUGAAUGCAGACCUAAAUGGUACUACAGGAGUGCACUAGUUUGGUGUCCUGGUGCAUUUUACUAUAUCAGAACAAGUAGUAGACUCGAAAAUUCUUCAUGGAAUCUGUAUAUAUUCAAUCGUUUGAUAAAACUCUUUCCACUUAAUUACUGUUAAAAGGAGGAGCUUUUACAAACUGUGGAAACAGAGAAGGCUCUGCUAUAGUGAAGAGUUUUCACGUGUGGGUUUCUGGCCGCGGGGAAAAGUGCAGUUUCUGGUAGUGACAGGAUCUGUAUUGAACAGAGGAGGAGUUUGUACAAACAGUGGAAACAGAGGAAGGCUCUGCUACAGUAGAGUUUCCACAAUCAGGGACUUCCUCUGUUUUCACAGGAUCUGUAUUUGUUCCAUCGCUUGUGGAACUCUUUCCACUUAUUACUAUAUAUUCUCAUUUGACAGAUUCUAAGGUAAUAUAGAACCACUCAUCCUUUAACCCGAUGACAGCACAUUUUCUUCUCCAGUUAUGACAUGCAAACUUUCGAUAUCAAAUGUGGUAUAUAGACGCAUGCAUUCACAGAUCUUCCAGCUUAGCGGAAUAAGUAACUAAAGUUUCCAUCUUUCAAAAGUUGAGCUUAAUUAUGCUUCCUGAAAGAGCACAGUUGCAUAAGUCGAGUGAUAAAAUCAGCUGGACCUCGUGGCAUUUGAAGGAACCAACUGAAAACAAAAAACUUGCUUACUGAAGUGAUCGUGUAUCUGAGUGCUGCUAAUUAAUUUUAU